CAAAAGCACCGGUUCUCGUAUGAUCAUUGUAGUUAAGCAACGCUGAGCCUGGUUAGUACCUGGAUGGAUAAGGGCUUAGGAAUACCAGGUGCUGUAAG
This is a non-coding RNA of Acanthosepion pharaonis, 98 nucleotides long. NCBI's taxonomy places the organism in Eukaryota, Metazoa, Mollusca, Cephalopoda, Sepiida, Sepiidae. The record is from the annotation of a GenBank genome assembly.